AAUGAACGCUGGCGGCAUGCCUAACGCAUGCAAGUCGAACGAGACCUUCGGGUCUAGUGGCGCACGGGUGCGUAACGCGUGGGAAUCUGCCCUUGGGUUCGGAAUAACAGUUAGAAAUGACUGCUAAUACCGGAUGAUGUCGAAAGACCAAAGAUUUAUCGCCCGAGGAUGAGCCCGCGUAGGAUUAGCUAGUUGGUGAGGUAAAGGCUCACCAAGGCGACGAUCCUUAGCUGGUCUGAGAGGAUGAUCAGCCACACUGGGACUGAGACACGGCCCAGACUCCUACGGGAGGCAGCAGUGGGGAAUAUUGGACAAUGGGCGAAAGCCUGAUCCAGCGAUGCCGCGUGAGUGAUGAAGGCCUUAGGGUUGUAAAGCUCUUUUACCCGGGAUGAUAAUGACAGUACCGGGAGAAUAAGCUCCGGCUAACUUCGUGCCAGCAGCCGCCGUAA
RNAcentral lists this ribosomal RNA (449 nucleotides) under uncultured bacterium. RNAcentral's name for it is "partial 16S ribosomal RNA". It matches the Rfam family "Bacterial small subunit ribosomal RNA", at positions 29 to 523 of the family's 1533-position model. The record is from RNAcentral.